This 467-nucleotide ribosomal RNA is filed under the name uncultured bacterium. RNAcentral's name for it is "bacterial SSU rRNA". It matches the Rfam family "Bacterial small subunit ribosomal RNA", at positions 355 to 825 of the family's 1533-position model. The record is from RNAcentral.
UGAGGAAUAUUGGACAAUGGGCGCAAGCCUGAUCCAGCCAUGCCGCGUGCAGGAUGACGGUCCUAUGGAUUGUAAACUGCUUUUGUACAGGAAGAAACAGUUCUACGUGUAGAACCUUGACGGUACUGUAAGAAUAAGGAUCGGCUAACUCCGUGCCAGCAGCCGCGGUAAUACGGAGGAUCCAAGCGUUAUCCGGAAUCAUUGGGUUUAAAGGGUCCGUAGGCGGUUAGAUAAGUCAGUGGUGAAAGCCCAUCGCUCAACGGUGGAACGGCCAUUGAUACUGUCUGACUUGAAUUAUUAGGAAGUAACUAGAAUAUGUAGUGUAGCGGUGAAAUGCUUAGAGAUUACAUGGAAUACCAAUUGCGAAGGCAGGUUACUACUAAUGGAUUGACGCUGAUGGACGAAAGCGUGGGUAGCGAACAGGAUUAGAUACCCGCGUAGUCCCUGAGCGGGCUGGCAAGGCGCAU